GGGGGAUUAGGGUUCGAUUCCGGAGAGGGAGCCUGAGAAACGGCUACCUCAUCUAAGGAAGGCAGCAGGCGCGCAAAUUACCCAAUUCUAACAGUUUGAGAGAGGUAGUAACAAGAAAUAACAAUACAAGGCAGUUAAAAUGCUUUGUAAUUGGAAUGAUAGAAAUUUAAACCCUUUUUAAAGUAUCAAUUGGAGGGCAAGUCUGGUGCCAGCAGCCGCGGUAAUUCCAGCUCCAAUAGCGUAUAUUAAAAUUGUUGCAGUUAAAAAGCUCGUAGUUGAAGUUCUGCUAAAAGUAACCGGUCUGCUUUUAAUAAAGGUGGUAUCUUGGUGUGUAUUUAGCAAUGAUGUCCUUUGAAGUGUUUUUUACUUUAUUGUAAUAAAGCAUAUUCAGGACUUUUACUUUGAGAAAAUUAGAGUGUUUCUAGCAGGCCAACGCUUUGAAUACUGCAGCAU
This 453-nucleotide ribosomal RNA is filed under the name Hepatozoon canis. RNAcentral's name for it is "bacterial SSU rRNA". It matches the Rfam family "Eukaryotic small subunit ribosomal RNA", at positions 364 to 810 of the family's 1831-position model. The record is from RNAcentral. Lineage: Eukaryota; Apicomplexa; Hepatozoidae.